This 717-nucleotide ribosomal RNA is filed under the name uncultured Planctomycetota bacterium. RNAcentral describes it as "bacterial SSU rRNA". It matches the Rfam family "Bacterial small subunit ribosomal RNA", at positions 95 to 820 of the family's 1533-position model. The record is from RNAcentral. Lineage: Bacteria; Pseudomonadati; Planctomycetota.
GCGGCGUAAGGGAGAGUAAUGAGUGGAUUACCUACCCCCAGGACCGGGAUAGCUGCGGGAAACUGCAGGUAAUACCGGAUAAUAUCUCCGGAUCAAAUGGUGAGAUUCCGCCAGGGGAUGGGUCCGCUUCCUAUUAGCUUGUUGGUGGGGUAACGGCCUACCAAGGCAACAAUGGGUACCGGGUGUGAGAGCAUGGCCCGGCUCACUGGGACUGAGACACGGCCCAGACACCUACGGGUGGCUGCAGUCGAGAAUCUUCCGCAAUGGGCGAAAGCCUGACGGAGCGACGCCGCGUGCGGGAUGAAGGCCUUCGGGUUGUAAACCGCUGUCAGUAGGGAGGAAAUCUAUGGGGGUUAUCCUUCAUAGUUGACCUAUCUUCAGAGAAAGGACGGGCUAAGUUCGUGCCAGCAGCCGCGGUAAGACGAACCGUCCAAACGUUAUUCGGAAUUACUGGGCUUAAAGGGUGCGUAGGCGGCUUGGCAAGUUGGGUGUGAAAUCCCUCGGCUCAACCGAGGAACUGCGCUCAAAACUGCCAAGCUAGAGGAAGAUAGAGGUGAGCGGAACUAAUGGUGGAGCGGUGAAAUGCGUUGAUAUCAUUAGGAACACCUGUGGCGAAAGCGGCUCACUGGGUCUUUUCUGACGCUGAGGCACGAAAGCUAGGGUAGCGAACGGGAUUAGAUACCCCGGUAGUCCUAGCCGUAAACGAUGAGCACUAGG